This 407-nucleotide ribosomal RNA is filed under the name Halarachne miroungae. RNAcentral describes it as "partial large subunit ribosomal RNA". The stretch from base 165 to 407 matches the Rfam family "Bacterial large subunit ribosomal RNA", at positions 2078 to 2575 of the family's 2925-position model. Lineage: Eukaryota; Metazoa; Arthropoda; Arachnida; Mesostigmata; Halarachnidae. The record is from RNAcentral.
CCUCUGCUCAAUGAUUUUUUAAAUUGCUGUGGUAAUCUGACCAUACAAAGGUAGUGAAAUAUGGUUUUAAAUGGGCGCUAAGUGAAUGGACAAAUGGGGAGAGGCUUUUUUAAAGAAAAAAUUAGAAUUUAAUUUAAAAGUUAAAAAGCUUUUAUAUAAAAAUGGGACAAGAAGACCCUACGAAUCUUUAAUUGUAUAUUUUAUAGAGUGUAAUGGGUAUAUAAUUUUAGUUGGGGAAACUAAAAAAUAAUAAGAAACUUUAUUAUGAAAGUUUAUAUUAAAACUAUGGGAAAGAUACUCUAGGGAUAACAGCGUUAUUACUUUGGAGAGUACGUAUUGAUAAAGUAGUUUGCGACCUCGAUGUUGAAUUAACGAACCUUCUAGUUGGAGAAGACUAGGAAGGCAGA